CCUACGGGUGGCAGCAGUGGGGAAUAUUGGACAAUGGGGGAAACCCUGAUCCAGCGACGUCGCGUGAGUGAAGAAGUAUUUCGGUACGUAAAGCUCUAUCAGCAGGAAAGAAAAUGACGGUACCUGACUAAGAAGCCCCGUCUAACUACGUGCCAGCAGCCGCGGUAAUACGUAGGGGGCAAGCGUUAUCCGGAUGUACUGGGUGUAAAGGGAGCGUAGACGGCAGCGCAAGUCUGGAGUGAAAUGCCGGGGCCGAACCGCGGAACUGCACUGGAAACUGUGAAGCUGGAGUGCGGGAGAGGUAGGCGGAAUUCGUGGUGUAGCGGUGAAAUGCGUAGAUAUCAGGAGGAACACCGGCGGCGAAGGCAGCUUACUGGAGUGUAACUGACGUUGAGGCUCGAAGGCGUGGGGAGCGAACAGGAUUAGAUACCCGAGUAGUC
RNAcentral lists this ribosomal RNA (440 nucleotides) under uncultured bacterium. RNAcentral describes it as "partial 16S ribosomal RNA". It matches the Rfam family "Bacterial small subunit ribosomal RNA", at positions 338 to 795 of the family's 1533-position model. The record is from RNAcentral.